CCAAUAUUAACAAUUAACAACUAUACUAAAACCGAUUACACACUUUUCUUAAAUUAAUUAAAAACAUAACGAAGGCAGUCGACAUUUUACCACGCUUGCGGCAACUUACAUUUAUUGAUCUGAUAACUUAACUCGGACAGUAUUAUUGUGGGUACUAAAUUAAAUACUAUUAUUUUUAUUAUUAUUAUUAUUAUUUCGAGUUGUGUAUACUCGCCGCCGUCUCUCACCUAACUUGGAUACCACCAACAUCUCUAGAGAUCCAGUCAGUAAUACCGACAUAAGAUGAAGUGAUUGCCACGCCAGAAUUUUUCGCUUGGCAAGGAGACGACGCACUGCCUAGUGGCGAAGAAGCAUUCGCGCAAGCUGCCAAGUUUGCUCAAGUAGCCGCUACAGGAGAUCUGGGUGCUACACUUUACUACUAGAGUGACCACUUUUGAAAUUUAUUGAAUAUAGGAACAUCUGGUGCAGAUGAUGAAUUAAAUUAAAUUUGAUUUCAAAAACACUUUUUAAUACAAUUCCAAAAAUGUGAUAUCUACAUGGUAAAUACAAAAUAUCACACCCCAUGUUGCAAAAUUUGCUACAAUAAUAUGCAGUUAAACCCCAUUUUUCAAUUGCUGCAAAGACAAGCUGCUGCUUGACAUUUCCCGAACCAGAAGAAAUUUCAGGCACAUCGAGUAGUUGUUCUACAUUAUUAUAUGACACAAUUAUUGGUAACCCUUCAACUAGUUGUAUUCCUGAUAAUGAAGGAAGAAGUUUUCCAUACCAAUGAAUGAUGCACGGACUUAAGAAAUAUCAAAAUUACUGUAUAUAUUUUUCAUUCUAUUUUUACGAAAAUGUUUUCGAAAAUUAUUAAUUGAGGUCUUAUUUAUAAUUAGUUCAGAUGUAUUGAGAUCAAAUGAUUCUGCAGUUGCUAUUAAUAUAUGAACAGCGUCUCUGUCGCUAAUUUUGCACUUAUCAAAUGCAGCGGCCAGUUUAUCAGUUAAAAUAUUCUUUUUACCUCUAAGAUGGGGAGUACUAGUUUUUUUAAUUAAGACAUUUUUAUAAUUGCCUAACAUUUUCAUUUCAUCAUAUGCUUUUCUUUUUCUUUGGACUAUAUCUAUAUUUUUCAUAUGUUGAUUUAUUUCAUAUUUUUCAUUGAAAUUAUCGACACCUAACAUAUAACCUGCCCACCCCUUUUCCUUUUGAGCCAAUAAAAAUUGUUCAUGAACUUCCAUUUUAAUUAAGUUUAAAGCAUCAGAAUGAGCAAUAUCAAAUAAGUCAUCAAGUUUAUUAACAAAUUCCUCUUUAUUUUUUGUAUCUAAUGAUGACUUUCUAGUCGCAUGUUUUUGUAGUUUUCUCCAUUCAUUGUACAAUGAUUUAAUUUUUUGUACGGAGUGACAUUUUUUUUUAAUAGGUAUUCUAGCUUUUUGCCAGAAUAUUUCAAUUUCAUUGUAAACUAAAGUGGCACUAUAGUGAAUAUUUAAAUGAACCACACGUAUGAUAUAAAAAAUAACACACAGUCCUUGUUUAUUUCAUGGUAACUCAAUACCGAUGAUUGGAUUUGACAUGUACCCUAAAUAAAUUUUAUUUGUAUCCCAAAGAUCCAUUUUAGAUGUAGAAGCCGUUUUAUAAAACAAUAAUUAAAAUCUCAACUUUUAAGUUGUAUAAGCAGAAACUAUAGUUAUAAAUAUAAAAAAAUACUUGAACAUAAUAUUCAUAAACAAUUAACGACAGGUUGUAAAAUUAGAAUCUUCUUUUGGAGUAUAACACAUAAAAACAUGUAAUAAAGCGUUUAAAAAUAACAAACAAUAACUUUAUCUUGUGAAUGACUUUUUU
Long non-coding RNA from Daktulosphaira vitifoliae (grape phylloxera), 1815 nucleotides. RefSeq lists it as uncharacterized. The transcript has 4 exons. The record is from RefSeq and is a predicted model, not a curated record. NCBI's taxonomy places the organism in Eukaryota, Metazoa, Arthropoda, Insecta, Hemiptera, Phylloxeridae.